This 736-nucleotide ribosomal RNA is filed under the name Elsinoe banksiicola. Its description in RNAcentral is "eukaryotic LSU rRNA". It matches the Rfam family "Eukaryotic large subunit ribosomal RNA", at positions 133 to 891 of the family's 3401-position model. The record is from RNAcentral. Lineage: Eukaryota; Fungi; Ascomycota; Dothideomycetes; Myriangiales; Elsinoaceae.
GGCGUCCGAGUUGUAAUUUGUAGAGGAUGCUAUUGGGUUGCCACCGGUCUAAGUUCCUUGGAACAGGACGUCACAGAGGGUGAGAAUCCCGUAUGUGACCGGCCAGGCGCCUUCUGUAUAGCUCCUUCGACGAGUCGGGUUGUUUGGGAAUGCAGCCCUAAAUGGGAGGUAAAUUUCUUCUAAAGCUAAAUACCGGCCAGAGACCGAUAGCGCACAAGUAGAGUGAUCGAAAGAUGAAAAGCACUUUGGAAAGAGAGUUAAAAAGCACGUGAAAUUGUUGAAAGGGAAGCGCUUGCAAUCAGUCUCGACGGCGGCUGUUCGGCCUCUCUUCUGAGUGGCUUAUUCAGUCGCCGCCGGGCCAGCAUCAGUUUUGGCGGUCGGAUAAAGGCGUGGGGAAUGUAGCUCCUCCGGGAGUGUUAUAGCCCCGCGUGCAAUACGGCCCGCCGGGACUGAGGUCCGCGCUUCGGCUAGGAUGCUGGCGAAAUGGUUGUAAGCGGCCCGUCUUGAAACACGGACCAAGGAGUCUAACAUCUACGCGAGUGUUUGGGUGUCAAACCCGUGCGCGCAAUGAAAGUGAACGGAGGUGGGAACCGCAAGGUGCACCAUCGACCGAUCCUGAUGUCUUCGGAUGGAUUUGAGUAAGAGCGUAGCUGUUGGGACCCGAAAGAUGGUGAACUAUGCCUGAAUAGGGUGAAGCCAGAGGAAACUCUGGUGGAGGCUCGCAGCGGUUCUGACG